This 253-nucleotide ribosomal RNA is filed under the name uncultured bacterium. RNAcentral describes it as "partial 16S ribosomal RNA". It matches the Rfam family "Bacterial small subunit ribosomal RNA", at positions 524 to 776 of the family's 1533-position model. The record is from RNAcentral.
UACGUAGGGUGCAAGCGUUGUCCGGAAUCAUUGGGCGUAAAGAGCGUGUAGGCGGCUCGAUUAGUCCGCUGUAAAAGUCCAGGGCUCAACCCUGGGAUGCCGGUGGAAACUGUCGGGCUAGAGUCCGGGAGAGGCGAGUGGAAUUCCUGGUGUAGCGGUGAAAUGCGCAGAUAUCGGAAGGAACACCUGUGGCGAAAGCGGCUCACUGGACCAUUACUGACGCUGAGGCACGAAAGCUAGGGGAGCAAACAGG